Molecule: ribosomal RNA, 513 nt
Filed under: uncultured bacterium
Lineage: Bacteria
Description: bacterial SSU rRNA
Rfam family: Bacterial small subunit ribosomal RNA
Source: RNAcentral
AUCCUGGCUUAGGAUGAACGCUAGCUACAGGCUUAACACAUGCAAGUCAGGGGCAGCAUUGAGAUAGCUUGCUAUUCAGAUGGCGACCGGCGCACGGGUGAGUAACGCGUAUCCAACCUUCCCCUUAGUAGAGGAUAGCCCGGCGAAAGUCGGAUUAAUACUCUAUGUUGUAUUUUGAGGACAUCUGACGAAUACCAAAGAUUUAUCGCUAAGGGAUGGGGAUGCGUCUGAUUAGCUUGUUGGCGGGGUAACGGCCCACCAAGGCGACGAUCAGUAGGGGUUCUGAGAGGAAGGUCCCCCACAUUGGUACUGAGACACGGACCAAACUCCUACGGGAGGCAGCAGUGAGGAAUAUUGGUCAAUGGGCGAGAGCCUGAACCAGCCAAGUAGCGUGCAGGAAGAACCUGCCCUAUGGGUUGUAAACUGCUUUUAUCAGGGAAUAAAGUGCGGCACGUGUGCUGUUUUGUAUGUACCUGAUGAAUAAGGACCGGCUAAUUCCGUGCCAGCAGCUGC